CCUACGGGAGGCAGCAGUGGGGGAUAUUGCACAAUGGGGGAAACCCUGAUGCAGCGACGCCGCGUGGGUGAAGAAGCGCCUCGGCGCGUAAAGCCCUGUCAGCCGGGAAGAAAAUGACGGUACCUGAAGAAGAAGCCCCGGCUAACUACGUGCCAGCAGCCGCGGUAAGACGUAGGGGGCAAGCGUUAUCCGGAUUUACUGGGGGUAAAGGGGGCGCAGAGGGCGAUGCAAGCCAGGAGUGAAAGCCCGGGGCCCAACCCCGGGACUGCGCGUGGAACUGGGUGGCUCGGGGGCAGGGGGGGCAGGGGGAAAUGCUGGGGUAGGGGUGAAAUGCGUAGAUAUCAGGAGGAACACCGGUGGCGAAGGCGGGCUGCUGGACUGCAACCGACGUUGAGGCCCGAAAGCGUGGGGAGCAAACAGGAUUAGAUACCCCAGGAGUC
RNAcentral lists this ribosomal RNA (440 nucleotides) under uncultured bacterium. RNAcentral's name for it is "partial 16S ribosomal RNA". It matches the Rfam family "Bacterial small subunit ribosomal RNA", at positions 338 to 795 of the family's 1533-position model. The record is from RNAcentral.